This 465-nucleotide ribosomal RNA is filed under the name uncultured bacterium. RNAcentral describes it as "partial 16S ribosomal RNA". It matches the Rfam family "Bacterial small subunit ribosomal RNA", at positions 28 to 507 of the family's 1533-position model. The record is from RNAcentral.
GACGAACGCUGGCGGCGUGCUUAACACAUGCAAGUCGAACGGAAAGGCCCCUUCGGGGGUACUCGAGUGGCGAACGGGUGAGUAACACGUGAGUAACCUGCCCUUGACUUCGGGAUAACUUCAGGAAACUGGGGCUAAUACCGGAUAGGAAUCCUUGCUGCAUGGUGGGGGUUGGAAAGCUUCGGCGGUUUUGGAUGGACUCGCGGCUUAUCAGCUUGUUGGUGGGGUAGUGGCUUACCAAGGCUUUGACGGGUAGCCGGCCUGAGAGGGCGACCGGCCACAUUGGGACUGAGAUACGGCCCAGACCCCUACGGGAGGCAGCAGUGGGGAAUAUUGCACAAUGGGCGGGAGCCUGAUGCAGCAACGCCGCGUGCGGGAUGACGGCCUUCGGGUUGUAAACCGCUUUCAGCAGGGGCGAAGCUUGUGGUGACGGUACCUGCAGAAGAAGCACCGGCUAACUACGUG